UCCCUGCAUACCUGACAGUUCCUGGAUGCAGCCGUGAUGAGCCACACUUGCCCCAGGCCCAGAGCUCUUGUAUCAAGAGACCAGCCUGGAAGCUGCUCUUUAUAAGCUGCUGUGCUAGGGUGAUGUGUUUGUAGAGGACAGGCAGACAGACCGACAAGCGACUCAGUUCCUCAAGCCUCGGGCUCCCCAUCUGAAAUAUGGGGAUAGGAAUCGGGGCACUGCUUCUAGGGGGUCGCAAGGAUGAGGCACACAGUCUGGGCGCCGGGCACAUAGCCAGCGCUCAGGACGAUGCGCAGGUACAUGCCCAGGUGCACAGAGGAGGGGCGAGGGGCUCCGUCAGGUUGGGAAUCUUCCCAUCCUGUGUCUGCUCUGGACAAGCUGGGCUGACCACAUGGACAAGGGCACCCUGGCGGAGGGCACAGGACGUCUGGAAACACUGAGGCCUGAGAAAGCCCGUGGACUCAGAGGCUGGGGCAUGGGCCCGAGUGCCAAAGGGCCUGGAGAGCCGGGCAGCAGAGCAAGAGCGGCGGCCCGCCCUAGCUUUCCUCCUGGGAGUCUCCUCAUCUCCUGCUGCCUGCUGGAUAGCGAGGACCAGCUGGCUCGAGGGCCUGGGCUAACGUUUCCACUCAGGAGUUCCAAGUUACCUGGAAGAACUCGGCAAGUGCCCAGUAGUGAGGGUUCAGAAGUGUCAAUUUGGGACCCUGUCCUGCCCCUCAAGGGUGUCCUGGUUUUCUGCCCCUGCUGCAGCGAUGCUGUGAGAAGAAAUAAAAGCAUCUCUGGGAGCCCUGAAAGCAUCGUUGGCCUGGCCCUGAGCCUGCUGUGCCUCAGGGAAACGUGGGCCUGCUAGAGGACCCCCAACCUCAACAUCCCAGACUCGCUGGGCAAGCUCCCCUGUUAACCUGGAGACGCCCCACCUCCAUCCAGGCUGUGACCCCAAGCGAGGCUGAGUGUCAUUCAUCACUGCCGCAGCCCGGAGCCCUCUCUUCACAGGGAAGGACACUGAGAUCCGGAGAGUUGCCUGCCUUGCCCAAGGCCCUGCUGUGGAUCCAGAGCCCAGGUCCGAGAAUUCUCGUUCAGGUGGUUCUUUUUAAAGAAAGGCGAGCAGCUUCUUCCACAGUUUCUCCUGCCCACUCCUUCCUUCCUCCCCGGUUCUUCCCAACUUUGCUCUUAGGCUGGCGUCACAGCAGGAUGGGGCUGGGAGAAUGAGUCUGGGGGAGAGGGGAAGGCAGUGGGCAGGACAGACCAGGUAAGUGGGCAGUGGCUACUGCAGACUCCUCAGCUGCCACUCACUCUGGGCUCGAGGCCAGCUUCUCCAGGAUCCCUGGAUCCCCUGACGGCCCUGCGUGUUCCUGGCAGACAGGCAUCCCCAGGACACGCUGCAGGAGGGAGUCUCCCUUGGGGAUGUGUGUGGGAGCUGUACAUUUCACGUCUCCGUCCAGAGAGCGGGAUCCAGCCCCUGCUCGCUGAGGGCAGAGGUGCUGCCCGGCUGCCUCCGGCUCCUGGGAGAAACCUGAGGCCCCAUGGAGCUCCACUGGCCUUUUCCUAGAACAGGAAAAGAAACGGGAAGUGUGGAUGUAAAAAUAGAAGCUCCAGCCAGUUGGGGCAGGCCUGGAGUCGGCGGGCCUCAUGUCUUCCGUCUUCCGAAGGCUGGGCUUGGGCAUGCCCAGCACCCUCCCUCCCCUCACACUUUCUGGGCACCUCCUGGGCCCCCAGCACUGGGAUGGGCACAGAUGGAGCCACCAAGGCCUCCUGAACUGGACACGGUGGUGGGGCCACUGUGAUUCAUGGGGGUGGCUGGCCAAGGUCCUGUGAGGCAGAACCAGGCUGCAUGGUCCCUCCAGUGACUGGCCCUGCGCAAGCACAAGGCAGGUGGGCUUGGAACCAGCAGACGGGGAAGAAGCCAGGUGCCCUGCAGCCGUCCCGAACAGGGGAGCUUGAGCAGGUUGCUGCGCGCCUGAACCUCCACCUGGGGCGACAGCUUCGUUCCAGGGCUGGGGUGAGGCUGGGGUGAGCCACACACACAGCACCCAGUGGGCGUGUGAGUCUCCUUGCCCCACUGGCUGGAGAUGUGAUGCCUCCCUCUCCUCUGCCCACCCCACCAUCCAGACAGGCUGACCCACUUCUGAGCUGCCUCUGACAGCAAACCUUUCCCAGGCAGGUUAAAUUGAAGGGCUGGAGAGUGGAGUGGGGGGCUCAUGAAUACCCCCCAAGCACUAAGCACCUGCUGUGCCCACCCCCAGACCAUCCUCACACUCUCCACUCCACUGUCAGAAGCGGACCUGGGCUCUCCUCCCUCAGCCCUGGCCUUGAGGCUGAGGCCUGGCCCUGGGGCAGGACCAGCCGACUCCCGGUUCUGCCCAAUGUGGCCCGCAGGCACUGAGCACAGGCUGGAGGCCAGCCUUCCAUUCCGCCCAUCCCCUCACUAGGCGGUCAAGGUCCCCUGGAGCCUCUGUUUCCCCAUCAGCCAAAUGGAAAUCCCAGCUCCCACCCUGCCUCCUGAGAGAAUGGGGAAACCCACUUGUGUAAACUGUAAUGUGCUGUGAAGACAGGAAGGGCCGCAGGCUGCAGGAAGCAGGGCUCCCCUCUACGGCAGCAGCAGAAGCACCGGCAGCUCCUGCUGGGCUGGCCUCCACCACGUUUCCCUCCUGCCCUCUGGUCCCCAUGGAGUCUGUCAUCUUCUGGCCACUCUCAGCUGAUGCUGAAAGUGAGUCAGGCGAGAAGAUGACCUGAGUGCAGGUGAAUCACGGGACCAGGAGGAGGAAGUGGAUUGUCACCAGACUGUCCUUCUGAGAGGCCAAGAGAGCAAGAGCGUGCCAUCCCAGCCCGAGCGACCUCUCCGGCAGGAGCAGAAGGUCCCUGCCUGAGCUCCUGGAGGCCCAGCCCUGUGCUCCACUGUCCCUCCAUCCACUGUCUGAACACCAGGUAGCUGAAGGCCGAUUCUGGGUCAGCGUGCAUGAGGUUCCUCUGGGGAGCACUGGAGCAGGAGUCCUGCUGAGGAACUCUGUGCUGUGACUGUUCCUGUAGCCCUGAUCUUAGGGCUGAGCCCUCUGCCUGUCCCAGACUGUGGUGUCCCGAGGAACACAGGUCACCUAAGUUCAUUCUCACGCCGUCUUCCCAUGAGCUGCUCGUGUGGACAUUACAACCCCAUUUUACAGAUUGCUUUUCCCCUGGAGCAAACUAAAUCUUGGAGAUCUUGCCCUGUCAGGAGGUUGAAAUCUACCUUAUGACCUGCAACUGCCGCGGAGGACAUGGGGCCGCAGAGGACUGCCGAGACAGGAAUUCUCAUGCCCAUUUUACAGAUGAGGAAGUUGAGGCUCAGAGAGGGCCCAGGCAGCCAAGGCCCUAAUUACGCAGGCUUCCCGAGGAGGAGGAAGAACGAGGGGAAGUGGCCCCAGCCUCCUUACGCACUGUUUCCUCCUGACUCACUGCUGACCCGCUUGCCAGCCGGAAGUCACCAAAUUUCCCCAAACUUAUGGGUACCUGCCAGGUCAUGGGCCUGGUCCCAUUCUCCCCAGACGGGCCCGCCUCAGCUGACCUACCUCCCAGGCAUUUGGCUGAAAGAGGCCAAGCAGGGUGAUCCUGAGGAGCUGGGGAGGCAGGUGGGGGCGGGGAGACACUCAGGGUAUGGCCAGGGUGUGUCCUCGGUGCCAGCGCCCCACACAGCGUCCUUGGCCUGGUUUCCCCAGGGCAGCGCUCACCUGAUCACCUUGUGCCAGUCUCCUUGGAGGCCACCGGCUUAUUCACAAGGCCACUUGUGCCCAGUGGCCAAAGGGCACCAUAGCCAGUAGGGUCUGCCUGCCCUCCCAUCACAAAGGGUCCCAGAGAGGAGGCGCCCUACCCCACAGGGCCUUGGGCUUGGUCUGCAGGUCCUGUGCACCCCAGGCCCUCCUGCUCUGCUGGCCGUGUGGCCUGGACAGGCUGCCUCUGGUCCCGGGCUUCUUAACCUGUGCAACGGAGAUCCUCAGAUCUACCUUGUGCAGCUGUUGCCUGGAUCAGAUGGAACCCUGUGUUCAGAAGGCAUGGGGUGGUGCUGGCUGCAGGCUGCUGCCCUGGGGCUUUCUGAGCCGCAUCCCCAGGGCCAUCAAAUCCUGUGGGGCUCGCUUGUGGAGUUCCCAGUCUGCCUGCAGAGCAGAAUCUCUUGGGAGAUUUUAAACAGAUUUCACUUUGUGUCAAAUCCUGUUCAUAUUUUACACGUCCAACAUUCUACAGAAGAGGACAGAAUUUGUGGUGCCCCGGGUCCCCACAUCCAUGACCAGCCCACGUCCAUCUUGUUUAUUUAUACUCUGCCAACUACUUCCUUUCUUCCUAUUGGAAUCAACCCAAGGAGGUAUUUUUUAAGUACAAGUGCCAGAUUCUCACCUCCAGGAAUUUAAUCGAGUCAUCCAGGCCCAGAAAAAGGGUAUUUCCGCAAAGCUCCGGGAGACGUGGAGGUGCAGCCAGGGCCCGCCUGCGGGGCAGGGAGACCUGGGGCGCUGCCUCCAGAGGGUCUGGGAGACGUGGUGAGACCCCAGAGCAGUGGGGACAGACUCGAGGGGUGCACAGCACCUCCACUCCAGACGAGGAGAGAAACCACACGUGGAGACAGAUCCCACCCCAUGCCCACCUCAGGGUCUGAGAGGGAGAGGCCGACUCCCUCUUGGCUGCCUGGAGAGGCUGCUGACAGAGCCGUCAAUCCCACGCUCUGGGGAGAGCAAAGACCUGUGUGGACAAACCCACCCAGGAGAGUGGUUAACUGGCCAACCGCAAGGCUGCACAUUCCCGGGGGACUGAGCCAGCCGGUUCCUAUCAAAGGAGAGCCUGGCGCUGGCAGAGCUGGCGACAAAGGAUGCUUUGUUCCCCCGUUAAAAUAAACACUUCCCCUGGAUGUUUACUCCCACGUCUCGAAUGUAAUAUGGGGUGUAAGUUACUCUUUAACAGCUGACUUGGUCCAGGCCACCGAACUCUCCUGCACUAAUUUCCUGGAAGAAAGGCGUUCCCACCACCAACCCAGGUGUUUAUUAACCACGCCCCUUGGCGGUCAAGGAGAAGCUGGGUGCGGCUGUCACCUCUGAGAACCCGUGUGUCCUUGGGGGGCCACCCUCAGCCUUCCCUGAAGAACCAGUAGCGAGUUGACCAGUGAGUCCUCGGCUGUCUGGACAGGGAAACUUGAGGCUAGUGGGGUAGUUUUCCUCUGUGAGGUGAGAAACCUGUCUGUUCAGUCCCCACUUUGAGAGAACACAGUCGACCUAGGCUCCUGGGGAAAGUGGGCAUCCGGCUGGCCAGGCCGGCCCCCAGCACCAGGGCCCAGCGCACACCCACUGCAACUAUUACCAG
Equus caballus (horse) is the source of this 5313-nucleotide long non-coding RNA. Lineage: Eukaryota; Metazoa; Chordata; Mammalia; Perissodactyla; Equidae. The record is from Ensembl.